GUAGUUUAAUUGGUAAAACACUCGUUUAGCAUACAAGAGUCUUAGGUUCGAAUCCCACC
RNAcentral lists this transfer RNA (59 nucleotides) under Aedes aegypti (yellow fever mosquito). It matches the Rfam family "tRNA", at positions 7 to 64 of the family's 71-position model. From Rfam's summary of the family: Transfer RNA (tRNA) molecules are approximately 80 nucleotides in length. Their secondary structure includes four short double-helical elements and three loops (D, anti-codon, and T loops). The record is from Rfam by way of RNAcentral. Lineage: Eukaryota; Metazoa; Arthropoda; Insecta; Diptera; Culicidae.